Molecule: long non-coding RNA, 2706 nt
Organism: Gadus morhua (Atlantic cod)
Lineage: Eukaryota; Metazoa; Chordata; Actinopteri; Gadiformes; Gadidae
Exons: 2
Source: RefSeq, a predicted model, not a curated record
GUUAGGGGACUGGGUUAGAGGGCUGGGUUAAGGUUAGAGGACUGGGUUAGAGGACUGGGUUAGGGUUAGGGGACUGGGUUAGAGGACUGGGUUAAGGUUAGAGGACUGGGUUAGAGGACUGGGUUAAGGUUAGGGGACUGGGUUAGAGGACUGGGUUAGGGUUAGGGGACUGGGUUAGAGGACUGGGUUAAGGUUAGGGGACUGGGUUAGAGGACUGGGUAAGGUUAGGGGACUGGGUUAGAGGACUGGGUUAGAGGACUGGGUUAAGGUUAGGGGACUGGGUUAGAGGACUGGGUUAGAGGACUGGGUUAAGGUUAGGGGACUGGGUUAGAGGACUGGGUUAAGGUUAGGGGACUGGGUUAGAGGACUGGGUUAAGGUUAGGGGACUGGGUUAGAGGACUGGGUUAGAGGACUGGGUUAAGGUUAGGGGACUGGGAUCGUUACAGUCACCUGUGUGAAUAUUUUUGUGAUAACAAGAGGAUAUUGUAAAAAGUUGAAGUAAUAUAACUAAUCAGAAUAUUAAGUUAUAUGUGUACAGUACCUUUCAAAUUAGAAUUUUGAAUGACUGAGCCUAAGGAUUUACUAUCAUUUUAAUUGAUCUGAAUGUAGCCUAACUAGCUAGCUGUGCAUUCUGACCUGUGGCUGCGUACACUGGGCCCUAUUCACGGAACAAAAUGGUUUAUUAAUGUAGAAUCAACUGGAGCUACCUACCAUCUUGCACUGGUUUUAACUUGUUUUAACUCAAAGAUCGGAAUCUCACAAUGGCCCACAUUUUCAUGAUUGCGCAAAAAAUGACAAACACAAUCUUCAUCUCAAAGUGUUACAGCCAUGGCAUAAGACAACCGAAAGAUCAUCUCAGAUCAGAUGACCAACAUGGAUUGUUCUAUUAUUUCCUCUUCUCUUCUGACUUAUUCCCUUCUACCAUAUUUACCUUCUGGAAAGUCUUGCCCAUACAGAGCACGGUCUAAAGUUGAUGUCUCUGCCUGAUCACGACUUAAUCCAUUUACAAUGACAGAACCAAAACUCUAUUAAAUUGUUGUAAGCUGUUGCUUAUUUGCAACAAUAAGAAACACACAUUGUGGUUUCCUGUGUCUUUCCAAAAAACGGCGCUGUCUGAGUAAAAUUUCAGGUUUACUUUGUGAACAAGUUUAUAAUUUGAAAAGGAUUUGAACGUUACAAUAAUUUAAAGAAAACGCUGAGUGAACACGGCCCUCAGUGUGUGAUGUUAGCUACUAUAACAGGGUGUUAAACAUUAUUUUAUACAAAGUUAUAAACAUAUAGAUUUUGUUCCAUUAUCAGUUUACAUUUGAAGAGGUGAGGGAUUAUGGUCAUCCUCGUGGAAUAUCUACUGUGCAACGUUGACUCCUUUCUGCCGUGGAUGAGGUUAUUUGAGGGGAUAACCCAAAAAAAAAUUGGUUUCUGUUCAUGUUCUUUGGUGCUUCUACAAUGCAGUGUUCAGAGUACCAGUUUCAUCAAUCACUUCAUUCUCACAGAUGUGUGACUUCUUCUGUACCAUUUAGAAAUGAAUACUGUAACCCCACUUCUGAUUCAUUAUUCAAUUUAAAGUAAUAAUUAAAGUACAUUCAAUUGAAUGUUUGUAAUCUCGAACAAAACAACUCAUAUUUCCAUAAGUAUAUAGACUUUAUUAGCUUUGGUUUACAGCUUUAAUCAUUUCUAUCAACUGACUUUGUCCUUACUGUAAUUUGCACACACAGGAGAAAUAUUUCACAAUAAGGUCUUAUUUUUUUCCACAACAGAGGUUUUUACUUUGGCAGAUUAACAUGGAAUUAAGGUUGAUGUGUAGUUUGUUGAACAUGAGCAUCACUAACGAUUGAAUUAGAUAUUGAGUUGACAUAGAGGAUUUUCAUAUCUGUGAUUUUAAAUGGCAAGAUCUUUGUUCAUUUGUCCAAUAUAUCCUCCACAGCGACCUCUGGUUGGCUGUUGACGAGCUGCCGGUGAAUGCCUGCAUACUCUCUUUAAGCUGAAGCAAUAAUUGCAAUGUCGGGAUGUGGCCGCUGCUGCUUACACACCGAUAGUUGACUCUCAUACAGAUGGGGAAUAAUGAAGGAAACCAAGAGGGUUGAAUUGUGGACAAGAACGCUCUCCACUGGCUCCCGACAGGGUUUUAACUUGCUUAAGCUUUCACUUCCAAUGAUUGUUUGUUUUCUAUUUUUUCUCUCUCUCUCUCUCUCUCUCUCUCUCUCUCUCUCUCUCUCUCUCUCUCUCUCUCUCUCUCUCUCUCUCUCUCUCUCUCUCUCUCUCUCUCUCUCUCUCUCUCUCUCUCUCUCUCUCUCUCUCUCUCUCUCUCUCUCUCUCAUGGGUGCCAUUAUUCAUAUAUUAAUGACCAUGCCAAUGAGCUGGUUGGGUUCUGGCGUGUGGCCUAUACAUUUAGUUUUAUUCUACGCUACUGGUUCUAAUAAAGUAGGCUAUAGCUGUAUGAGGAUAGAUAUUUUCCAUGCCUUGAUUUAAACUAAAACCAGCUCUUUCUGACUCUGGAUCAGUGGCCUUGGUUUGAGGAUGAUGAGGAAGGGUUGGACAGCAGGGUCUGAUGGUGUGUUUGGGUUUAACUGAAGAUAGUUUUAUUUAUUUUUUAUUUUGUUUCAAUUGUGCAUUUCUUCAUUACUUUAUAGUCAUUUAACAUGGUCUUAUAAGAAAGAAAGACGCAAUGAUAAAGAAAAGAUAAUAAAGUUCUUAGUGUUCACAUUG